UACAGAGGUCUCAAGCGUUGUUCGGAUUCAUUGGGCGUAAAGGGUGCGUAGGCGGCGCCGUAAGUCAGGUGUGAAAUCUCGGGGCUCAACCCCGAAACUGCACUUGAUACUGCGGUGCUCGAGUACUGGAGAGGAGAUUGGAAUUUACGGUGUAGCAGUGAAAUGCGUAGAUAUCGUAAGGAAGACCAGUGGCGAAGGCGAAUCUCUGGACAGUUACUGACGCUGAGGCACGAAAGCGAGGGGAGCAAACGGG
RNAcentral lists this ribosomal RNA (253 nucleotides) under uncultured bacterium. RNAcentral describes it as "partial 16S ribosomal RNA". It matches the Rfam family "Bacterial small subunit ribosomal RNA", at positions 524 to 776 of the family's 1533-position model. The record is from RNAcentral.